Long non-coding RNA from Struthio camelus australis, 288 nucleotides. RefSeq lists it as uncharacterized. NCBI's taxonomy places the organism in Eukaryota, Metazoa, Chordata, Aves, Struthioniformes, Struthionidae. The record is from RefSeq and is a predicted model, not a curated record.
CCAGGUCCUGUCAACAGUACCGCACGCUCUUUAGGCUAGAGCGAUAGAAGUCACCCAGUGACGUGCCACAGGCCGGACAUCUCCACAUCUUCCCAACACACACAGGCUCCUCGGUCCCUAGGCGGGCUAGCAACGCCGUCGCUCGUCAACCAGGAAAGGGGGUGAAAGUAGCCACCUGAACAACUGGACUCUCCUGCAUGGCAUUUUGGCCCCUCUGAGGUACCUUUACACUCAUCAGCAGGAUAUGAUGAACAAGACAAGCUGCACCAGAAGAUGCUGGCACAAUCA